RNAcentral lists this transfer RNA (76 nucleotides) under Candidatus Cloacimonetes bacterium HGW-Cloacimonetes-1. RNAcentral describes it as "tRNA-Trp". It matches the Rfam family "tRNA". Rfam says of the family: Transfer RNA (tRNA) molecules are approximately 80 nucleotides in length. Their secondary structure includes four short double-helical elements and three loops (D, anti-codon, and T loops). The record is from RNAcentral. Lineage: Bacteria; Pseudomonadati; Candidatus Cloacimonadota.
AGGAAAGUAGUUCAAUUGGCAGAGCACCGGUCUCCAAAACCGGGGGUUGCAGGUUCGACUCCUGUCUUUCCUGCCA